This 157-nucleotide non-coding RNA is filed under the name Roseomonas sp. RNAcentral describes it as "6S RNA". It matches the Rfam family "6S / SsrS RNA". From Rfam's summary of the family: E. coli 6S RNA was the first non coding RNA to be sequenced, but its function was unknown until recently. It consists of 184 nucleotides that fold into an extended hairpin structure with a large single-stranded internal bulge. The 6S RNA specifically associates with RNA polymerase holoenzyme containing the sigma70 specificity factor. Lineage: Bacteria; Pseudomonadati; Pseudomonadota; Alphaproteobacteria; Acetobacterales; Roseomonadaceae. The record is from RNAcentral.
GCGAGGCUGCCCGGUGCGUGUGGCAUCUCAACCCCCGGGGCCAAUAAGCAACCUCCGGGGGCUGGCUCUGUCUGGAUCGUGGUCCGGGUAUCCGGCUCCCACCUGCAACAGCAGGUCUCAGGAGGGUUGUUCCGCCCACGGCCAUGGCGGCUUCGCG